Molecule: long non-coding RNA, 25688 nt
Filed under: Malus domestica (apple)
Lineage: Eukaryota; Viridiplantae; Streptophyta; Magnoliopsida; Rosales; Rosaceae
Description: long non-coding RNA (MDOM_LNC005243)
Source: RNAcentral
UUUGAAGCUGGUUUCCUGAAGGAAUUCUUCCAGACAAGUUGUUGUAAGACAAGUUCAAGUGGUUUAAAAAAGUUAAAGAUGACAAGCUUUGAGGAAUUUGUCCUGAAAGGUGGUUGUGUGAAAGAUCAAGAGUUUCAAGCAAGUGCAAGUUUCCGAUGUUGAAUGGGAUCUUUCACGUUAAUUGAUUCCUGGAUAAGUUCAAGGUACCGAAUUGAAUGAGGCUACUUAUUUCUUCAGGGAUUUCACCUUGUAAAUUAUUUGAUGAAAGAUCAAUGCUCUUUACAAGAUUUAUAGUCUUGUUGUACACAAGUUCUCUUCCUUUUAGUGUCAGUGUGAUUUGCUCAAUAGCACCAAUAGUGUCUGCAUUUAAAUCGUCCACCAGCGAAGCCAAAUUAUCCAGACACUUGGGAAUAGUACCUGAAAGGUUGUUGUGACUAAGGUCAAGGAUAUGAAGAUGUCGAAGAUUGCACAGUUGCUGGGAUAGAUGUCCACUAAAAGAGUUGGACCGUAAUUGUAUCCAGUACAACACGGAUACAUUUGGUCCUCCUAUCCAUAGAGGUAUGUUACCAUAUAACUUGUUGUCUCCGAGAUCUAGACUUCUCAAAAUAGAACAAUUUCGCAACGAAUUAGGAAUUUCACCCCCAAAAUUGUUGUUGUUGAGCUUUAAUACUUGCAGUGAACUUAAUACCCCCAAUGAAGUGGGAAUAUUACCAGAGAGAUUGUUCAGACCAACAUCUAGAAACCACAGUUUGCUCCCCACAUUCCAUGCACGAGGCAAUUCUCCAUAAAAUUGAUUGCUCCUUAGAGACAAGACUCCCAAUUGCUGCAUGUUGCAAACGGAGGGAGGAAUAGUGCCAGUCAAAUGAUUCUCAGAAAGUAACAAGGCAUCCAAAUUGGGCAUCAUUUGGUCAAUAUUAGAGGGAAUUGGCCCGAAAAAUAGAUUGCUUUCGAGAUCAAGCUUCUGCAAACUUUUAAACAAUCCUAAGGAGGCAGGCAGUUGGCUUUCCAGCUCACAAUAAGACAAAUCUAGGGACUCUAAUGCUAUAUUUGGACAAUUCGAGAAACUCCUCCAAAACUCUUCAAUACCCCCUUUAAAUUCGUUUUGAGAAAGGCUUAAGACCUUUAGCUUGCACAAAUUUCCAAUGACUUUUGGAAAAUUACCAUUGAAAUGAUUCCCAGAUAUAUCAAGUGUUAUGAGGCUGGUGAGAUUAAAAAGCCAGCUGGGAAAUGAAGAACUAAACAUAUUAUCUGACACAUCAAGUACCAAAAGUGAUGUCAAAUUAAUGUGUCGCAGUGAGAUGAGUGGAAUGAUUUCAAUUCGGCAAAAAGAUAAGAGUAACUCUGCUAAUGAAGGAAGCAUAUUAACAGCAUACACCCAAUUGACUGCUUUGGUGCUAAGAUCCACCGAUCCGAGAUCAAGGUAUUUAAGAGAAGAAAGGCGAGACAGCCAAUUCAACUUUCUGGAAGUUAAGCCAAUAUUCCACCCAAGAUCAAGAAAAUUGAGGCUUGACAGAUUACCAAGAGAAGGGGGAAUCUCUCCUCCAAAUGACGCAGAGGAGAGAUUGAGAUAUUGCAAACUUUUAAGCUCCCCGAAGAAGUUAGGAACUUGAAUGCUAUAAAAAUCAUUAUUGCUUAGGUCCAGGUAAUUUAAAUGUUUCAAGCUCAACAGAGAAGCAUUUAUCUUACCUCCCAAGCGAAACUUUUCAUACAUGUCCCGCUCUUCAUACGGAUUCCGGAGGUCCAUCUUCACCACAUGACCGGUCCGGUUGUUGCAUGAAACACCUUUCCAUUGACAGCAAUCGUGACCUACCCAAGAGGAAAGCCUGCCAGAAGGAUCAACAAGAUGUUGUUUAAAGAUGAGAAGCGCUUGUCUUUCUUUGUCGAUGCAUGGAUUUGUUUUCACACUGCUUGAAAGUGCACCACCGGCCAAACAGAAACAGGUUUUAGUAGUACUCUGCAUGUAGGAAGAGGUCAAAAGAACAAGAAGGAAAUAGUGAGCAAUACUGAGGUGAUGGUGGGAAUCCAUUACCACACACAAUUUUCUUUGCUAUCUUUGCUGAUGAUGAUGUUUAGCUUCUAAAUUUCAGAAUUUAUAGGAAAAGAUUAUCGAUGUAGGUCAGGGAGUUGAAAUGAAAGCCGUCUGAUGGAGAAAAGAAAAAAGGGUAACUGAAACGAAUGGCGGGUCUUCACAACCCCUUUUACAACUUAUCAUCCUAUUUACUCUUCUUUUCUUGUGGCAUAACAUUACGAAAACGAAUUUAGAUAUGUUUUAUAUUUUGUUCGAAGGAAAACGGAUAUAGAUGUGUCAGGUUCAACAAGUUUGGAAGUCCAUCGCCUACACCACACUUGCUGGUACUCUCUACUUGGAUAUGACUGUCGUGUCGUUAAUUACAAAUUUUCUAAACAAUGGAAUUGUUAUUGACACUCCAAAAUCGUCAUUGUCACAGAAGUCGGUUUCUCAUUUGUUUUUCACUAAUGAGAAAUACAGAGAUUUUUCUAUGGAAGGGCUGUGUAGUACCAAAUGAAAAUGCAUGCAUGAUCCGCGGAAGUCUUGGCACACCAAUUAGUCUUUGGUGGAAAAUCCAUAUGCAGCUAAGACUUUGAAUUGUGAGUCUUCUCGAGUGUCUGUUAGAGAGCUAGAGAGACAUAAUUCGAAUGUUUGUUCAACAACGCAGUGCAAGUAUACUUGUAAACGGAAUUUUUUGAAAUGUCCAAUGAACUUGUACACAUCCUUCAUUUUGUCAUAUAAACUAAAAUUUUAAGCAAUUUGUAUACCAAUUUCCCGAAAUCAUUAAUCUGUCAUCUCGCCAUAACUCUAUUAAGUUUUCUAUCUAAAAUAAGUCAUCUGCCUCCAUUCAAUUUGUCAUCUCAUCCUCACUCCGUUUAAUUUGUCAUCUCCGCCUAACUGAGGUGAUAGUGGUUGUCCAUUAUUACACACAAUUUUCUUUGCUAUGCUUUGUUGGAAAUGAUGUUUUUGUUUCCUACAAAUUGUAGACGUAGGUCGGGGAGUUGAAACAAAAGUCGUCUGAAAGAGAAAAGAAAAAAGGGCGGGUCUUCACAACCCAUUUUACAAGGUAGCAAGUCCAUUGUAGACACAGCUGGGACCUGGAGACUUCGAAUUAACGGUCUUCAUCAGCUGGGAACUGUUCUCUUCUUGUGGUGUAAAAUUAUGAAAACGGAUUUAGAAAUGUUUUAUAUUUUGUGCCAACGAAAAUGGAUAUAGAUGUGUCGGUAUGAACAAGUUUGCAAGUCCAUCGCCUACUCCUCACUUGCUGGUACUCUACUUGGAUAUGACUGUCGUGUCGUUAUUUACAAAUUUUCUAAAUAAUGGAAUUGUUAUUAACACUCCAAAAUUGUCAUUGUCACACUAGUCGCUUUCUUAUUUGUUUUUCACUAAUAGGAAACACUUAUUUUUCUAUGGAAUUUUCCGAAUUCUAAUGAAGCCGUGUAGGAGCAGAUGAUGACGAGUGCAUGCUGGAGAUGGCUAGCCAUGGAAGUGUUGGCCCUCCAAUUAGUCUUUGGUGGAAAAUCCAAAGUCUGUCGGAGAACAGAAAAUAUAUCAUAAUUACAUUAUAUUUUUUCAGUUAACAUCCCACAAUCCAAAGUCUUUGAAAGGGUAAUUCUAUUAACAUCCCACAAUCUUAUGAAUACACCCCAUAAUUUUAUUUUUUCAGUUAAAUUUCCAUUUUUACCCUGACUUGAAUUAAGUUCUAAAGUCCAAAAUAAACCCCAUCCACCCUCUUAUGCUGGUUGCCAACCACCAUCGUGUCAGGGCAAAAAAUCUCAACCACUCGCCAUGCUCUCUCUCUCUCUCUCUCUCUCUCUCUCUCUCUCUCUCUCUCUCUCUCUCUCUCUCUCUCUCUCUCUCUCUCUCUCUAUAUAUAUAUAUAUAUAUAUAUAUAUCCAAUAACCAACCACUUGCCGGUAGGUAAUAGGGAAUUGGGAGAUGGGGUGUGUGAAUCAAGAGUGUUGGGCAAUUCUCAGUCUGUUAGAGAGCCGGUCUUGGCUGUAAACUUCCGCGACGUGGGAGGUUUAUGGCUGUGUUGAUAUCGAUGACGGAUACCUCUUAUAUGGGUGGCCCAUGGCCGUCGAGCUAGCUUUUUUGCCGUCAUUUGUUUAUGGGGAUGGGGUGGCUUCAGAAAAAUGGAGGACAAAGCUGGAAUUUUAAAGGCACAUUUUAGAUGUGGGGUGUAUUCAUAAAGAUGUGGGGUGUUAAUAAAACAACCCUAGUUGAAAAUACUUAUCUUACAAAGCUUUUUUGGAAAGUGAUUUUUACACACAAAUUUUAAUUUGUCACACACUACUUUUUAUUUCUAACCAUUAAAUUGAAUAAAUCAAACAUAAUCAAUGGAUGUAUAAGGGCAUCUCCAGUGGAGUCUCUAAAUAAGGACAACCACCUUAUAAUGGGUAUAAAACAAAUAUAGGGACAAAAUGAAUCUCCAAUUUAUCGGAAAGUGAGUCCCCAAAGUAGAGGGACUCAUCAGAUACAUAGUUGUAUGUCUCACAUAUAGGGAUUAUAUAGAGAUGACCUUGAGUGAAAAACGGAACCCACAAUCUUAAUUGAAGCUUUUAAUGUUUUUAAUGCUUCUAAUUAAUUAAAAAAUGGUUAAUAUAAACAAAAAAAUGUGCACAUUGAGUGGAAAACGGGACUCACAAUCUUAAUUGAAGAUUUUAAUACUUUUAAUUAAUUAAAAAAAUGUUAACAUAAGCAAAAAAUGUGCACCUAAUCAAAUUAUCACAUAAAAUCAUAAAAACUUCAAAUUUAGAGAUUCUAUUAUAAGGAUUCUAUCAUUGAAGACAAUAUUUCUUUAGGGUCACAAAUAUUUCCUUUUAAGUCCUUAAAUGAGUACUCAAAAGUGGUGAUGAGAAUACCUAAAUAUGGACCUUCAUUGGAGAUACUGUGUGCAUUUAUUAUUUUUAUUUUUUCUUCCUUGAUUUUAUUCCAAAAUUAGGAAAUAGCUUCUGAAAAACUGAUUUCACACUUUUUUUGUCAUCUAUACUUUUGUUGGAUAGAUUCGUAGAAGGAAGCUUACCUUAAACGACGUCAUUUUGGAAAUAUCUCUUGCUCUUAUCGGAUUCUGAUCUCCAGAGAUGGAGGGGAAUGAGAACAGUUGACCGUUGUAGAGGUCUGAGUCACCUUGUUAAAUCGGCGGUCUUUAUUUUUGUUUUUUUUGAAAUAAACACGAUUUUACGUUACUACCCCUUUCCUCAUUUUCUUUGGUCAACGAUACCCCCUGCUUUCCUCAGUAUAUAUAUAUAUAUAUAUAUAGAUUUUAUUAUAUGAUUUAUAAGCACAAACUAGAAUUUUAAAUUAAUUCCAAGUUAAUACAUAAAUGUUUGUGGGAACAUUUAUUGAAAGAUAGAAUUCUUUUAUUCAAUACAAAAGUUCCAAGAAGUACCUUAAACCAAAUAGAAAGGAAACCACAAAUAUACAUAGUACAAUCAAACAUUAGAAAACAUUAUUCGGAAACGAGCCACUUUCAAUGCAAAUGCUAGUGCCAUCUUGUCUUUGAUGUAGUCGAAGAAUUGAAAUUAGGCAUACCUCCAUGUUGUUUUUAAGAUCAACGUGCCACACAUGCCUCAAAAGCCUACGAUGAACCAAGUACUACACUAACAUAAAACCACAACUUAUCAUCAUUUCUCACUUCAUUCUUGUCCCUUCCAUCCUUAGCUCACACACAGAAGGUCAUGAACACAUUCAUGUAACCUUGUUAAAAAAUAAAGCACAAAAAACCUCUUUAACGCCAAUUCAACAUCAAAUUAAAAGAAAAUACCGAGUCCUUUCUUUCAAAUUAACAUCAUCCAACAGCAAGCUCAAUCUUUACAUUCAAAAUUACAAUUUCUGUCGAGCCAUCAAAAUUGUUAUCCAGCCACAGCUACAUGCGAAAACUGCCAUUACGAGCCACUUUCGCAACCAACUUGGUCUCAAUCUAUAGCAGCAUUGCCAAUUUGCCAGAAGAUAUUAAGCUAUAGUAAGUUAAUUACAACUAUAUCAACAACCUCUGCACUUCCACAGAAGGAAGUAAAUCACUUACCUAAAUUGGCCCUAACCCUAAAGCUAAAGUAUAUCAACAACCUCUACACUUUACGAGCCACGGUCCUCUGCUUGGUCGCGUGCUGUACUACUUUUUCCUCUACAGGAAGCCCCUUCUUCCUUCUUACCGCGUUAAUUAGUUUCCUCGCAGUAUUGGGAAGCACACUAGAACCGUCACCAAACUCCUCAAGUUCUUCUUCUGUUUUCGGUACAAAAGAAAGGAUCCUCUAGAAGUGCUUCCCAGUGACUAAGCACAAGAAGAGCACUUGCAGCACCAGCAGUCUGUCUUCUAAGCUCAUCCGCAAAACCAAAGCUUUCAGGAACUGUAUGAGCAAAUGAAAAGGUACCAACAUUAUUUUAGAGGCAUCACCCCCUACAAUCCAAGAAGAGUUGCUUUUGACAUUGCUGACAUCGGCCAAUGCUCUUCUUCCCACAUUUUUAUUUGCUAAGAUAAGGACAACAAAAAUUUGAAAGGAACUGGUUCAAGAUGUGUAACACAACUUUGCAUAACAAGUACAGUCUGGUUCAACCUUACACGCCGAACUACAAAGUAUGCCUUUUCGCUUCUUCAUACUUUUCAAACCAGCCUUGAUAACAAAACAAUUUACAGAUAGAAAGCAGUAAAUAUAUAAUUAAAACAAAAACUGCUUAUCACAAGAAAUAACACUCCAUCCCAAUCCCCCUUAAAACAAGCAGUGGAAUAUGAAUGUCGUCGGUUACCUUUAAAGCAGCUGUAUUCUCCAGAGUCGAUACUUUGUUAACUGCUGCAUUACUCCUGAAAUAAAAGCAGCACACAGAUAUAAUUCCCCUUACAAUCUAGGUAAUUGCCAAGAACUUGCAGGAAGUGGGCAGAUACGGCUAAUAUCUAUUACUUUUAGGCCUCUACUUAGCUACAUCAUUGUAAUACAAAUCCCAGAUUUAAAUUCUGGAAUGAAGGCUUAGUUGAUUUCAGUUCUAAAACAACUAAGACGUUGAUUAAAACCAUAACAUUCGAUAAUUGAAAUGAAAUUGCACAAAUUUAAAACUAAAAUUACCUGAUCCCGCCAUCAGCUUUGGCAGUGUCACUUUCUGUGUAAACCUUAAAGCUUGAGCCACCAACUGUUUAAAAUAUUGAAAAAGAACGUCAAAAGUCAAUAAAUCACCACCAUAAGAAGUUUAAACCAGCAGAAGAGCCAAUAAUUUCUAGAAAAACCGAGAGAAUUUCAAUCAAUCAAGACAAAAUUCACGAGAAAGCAACUUCCACAAAAGAAACCCAUAAUUAGACGACAGUAAUUCAAAUUUAAAAACGCAGCCCUAGUUGAAUUUGAUUGUUUGAAGAAAUUCGAUUUUUCAAGAGGUACAUGGAGACGACAGAUUGUUGGAUAGAUUCAUAGAAGCAAGCGUACCUUAAACGACGUCAUUUUGGAGAUAUCUCUUGCUCUUCUCGGAUUCUGACGGAAAGGACUGAGAACAGUCCACCGUUGCAGAGGUCUGACACAUCUUGUUAAAUCAGCGGUUUUUAUAUAUUUCGCUUUUUGAAAGACUCAUCCAAUUCUCUUAUUUCUACAACAUAUUAAUAUUUUACCCAUCAUAAAAAAUUAAUAACUAAAAGCGUUAUUUUCUCAUCGACCAUUAUUUCUAAAAUAACCUCUAAUGUUUCCUUAAUUGUUAUGAUCCUAGCUGCACCAGAACCUCCUCCCACCUCCAUAGAAAACAAAAACCUUUGACACAUACUUGGCGGCAUCUCUUUUGGAAAGAGAGAGAAACGGAAGGGGGGACGAAGAGAGCAUAGGGGACAAAGAGAGAGAAAUACGGGGAGAUUGCUCCAAUACAAAGGCAGAUUGCUCCAAACCGAUUUAGUCCAAUUGGAAUUGGGUAUUUUUUCGAUUUUAAAAUUUGAGUUGUCGUCGUUGUUUGUCUGUGAGGAAGAGAAAGAGAGGGUAUAGGAGGUAGUACCGAAAUUGAAAGUGUCAUCUCCAGGGCACUUAGUUGAGAGAGGAACACCACAUAGCGAUGGAUUUCCCAUAUAAAUGGACGAAAAAUUGAGUGUUUGAAGCCGGUUUCCCUAAGGAAUUCUCCCAGACAAGUUGUUGUAAGACAAGUUCAAGUGGUUUAAAAAUGUUAAAGAUGACAAGCUUUGAGGAAUCUAUCCUGAAAGGUGGUUGUGUGAGAGAUCAAGAGUUUCGAGCAAAUGCAAGUUUCCGAUCUUGGAGGGGAUCUUUCCAGUCAAUUGAUUCCUGGACAAUUUCAAGGUACCCAAUAGAAUGAGGCUACUUAUUUCUUCAGGGAUUUCACCUUGUAAAUUAUUUGAUGAAAGAUCAAUGCUCUUUACAAGAUCUAAAGUCUUGUUGUACACAAGUUUGCUUCCUUUUAGCGUCAAUGUGGCUUGCUCAAUAAAACUAGUAAAGUUUAUAGAUGAAGCAUUGACAAGUGAAGCCAAAUUAUCCAAACACUUAGGAAUAGUACCUGAAAUAUAUGUCCACUAAAAUAGUUGAACCGUAAUCGUAUCCGAUACAACACGGAUACAUUUGGUCCUCCUAUCCAUAGAGGUAUGUUACCAUAUAACUUGUUGUCUCCAAGAUCUAGACUUAUCAAAAUAGAACAAUUUUGCAACGAAUCAGGAAUUUCACUGCCAAAAUUGUUGUUGUUAAGCUUUAAUAUUUGCAGUGAACUUAAUACCCCCAAUGAAGUGGGAAUAUUACCAGAGAGAUUGUUCAUACUAACAUCUAGAAACCCCAGUUUGCUCCCCACACUCCAUGCAUGAGGCAAUUCUCCAUAAAUCUGAUUACUCCUUAGAGACAAGACUUCCAAUUGCUGCAUGUUGCAAACAGAGGGAGGAAUAGUGCCAGUCAAAUGAUUCUCAGAAAGUAACAAGGUUUUCAAAUUGGGCAUCAUUUGGUCAAUAUUGGAGGGAAUUGGCCCGAAAAAUAGAUUACUUUCAAGAUCAUGGUAAAUGGCAUUAGUGGACCACCAAAGUGGGAGUGGGCCCUCCAAUUGAUUAUGACUCAAAUCAAGAUACUCUAAUUUUGGAAAUUUCAAAUAGGAUGGAAGGUUUCCACGAAAUUGGUUGUAAGACAAGUCUAGUCGGAUGAGCUGGGCAUAAUUCUUCAAUAGCCAUUCCUCUGGUAUGGAAUCCGAGAUUUCAUUACCACUAAGAGUGACGUCGCCCAGUUCAGUUUGUGAUUGAAGCCAUACCCCAAAAUCAGGACCACACUACAAAAUUAAACGUCAUUAGCGAGGGUCAAAUGCUGUCGGAAAAGGUAAUUUGCCGUCACAAAUACUUAUUUCCGACAGGAAAAAGCCCUCACUGGGCGUCGGAAAUUGCUCCAUCGGAAAUACUUUUUUCUCGACCAGCCGUCGAAAAUGCUUCAUUUCCAAGGCAUGAGGCUCGUCGUUACUAGUUAUCUUUCCGUCGGAAAUGAAUUUUCAAAAUGACAAAAUUAUUUUAUUUUCGACAUGUCAAUAUGGUCGCAAAUACUUAUAUGCCCGUUGAAUAUACUUUCUAAACGACGACAUCUCUUUUUUCCAAUGAUUUUUUAUGACCAAAACAUUGUGUCAAAAAAUGUUUUUCCAAUAGUAAAAUGUUAUUUGCAAGAGUAUAUAAUCGUCGCAAUUACCAUUACUAACAAUUAAGAAUUGUCAAAAAUAUGCAUAAAAACAUAUUUAUGAGGGUCAAGAGGCGUUGGAAUUAUAUAUGGGCGAUUAUCCUAUUUGUCGGUAAAAAACAAAAGGAUACAAAUACAAUUUUUUUUUUAUAAGUUCAAUAAUAUUUUCAAUGGCAAUUUUUAUGGAAUGAAUUGUUUUAUAUUAAUGAAACCAUAUAUUCAACUACAUAUACCAAAAAUCAAUGUAAAAAAUUUAAAGUACUUGUUACAAUCCUAUGAUACGUCUUGUAACGCUAGUUUUCCAUGUCCGCUUUAACCAACCAUUGAGGAGUUCGAAUGUAGAAGCGCUUCAACAAUGAAAAUCCCACCUUCAUGACCUUGGCCAUGUUUGAUAUGUUUCUUUACCUGCAAUGACAGAGUAAAUGUUUAGCAGCAACCAAAUCCAUGUAAUUCAUUGGAACCGAAUGACCAAAAGCCUUGAGCAUUGAAAGAAAUUAGUUUUGAGACUAUUAAGGAUCAAAUAGCAAAAAGCCUUGAACAUUAUAUACUACAUUCGCGUUUGAAUGGUAUCCUUCAAACGUAAUUACUUUUUUCAACACAAUAGAACUCAUCCAAUAUGCAUUACACAAGACAGGGAACUUGAAUACUAAUAUGACCAUUAGAAGAGCUUCCAAGCAUUAAAGAUACUUUUAAUAAAUAAGCAUACUGUCUACAGACUAUCAACCACAUUACACUGGCCAAUUCCAAUUGCUCAAUGGUAGUCGUGAGAAAAAAGCAUAAACCCAAAAACAUGAUCGAACAUUUUUGUUGAGAUAAUCAUAGAGAUCAUCUACAAUCUCAACCGGAUUGGAGUGACCACAACAGAAUGGAUUUGUAAGAAGUUCUCUCAUGAAGAAAGAUGUUAUAAUAUUGAAUGAAACUAUAUAUAAAGUUGAUUAAAGAAUUGCAAGACAAAAUUAGUUAAACGAGAACAAUAUACCAAAUUACAAAUAAUAGGGCUGGACUAAUACCAGAUUGUUGCCUUCCACGAUGGCGUGCUUUUGAGAAGGAAUGACUCGCUUAAUGACACUCACCCUUGUCUUUGCCUUUUGUUAUCAUUACCUACAAAUGAGAUUAGAAAACUAUUAAUUAAUAAAUAACAGAUUAGAAAACUAUUAACACCCACCCUCGCUUGAUGACAACCACCCUUGUCUUUCUAACCCAUUUCAAAUUAAAACAGAUAUCCCCUGCAGAGCCAACAACAAACAACAUUACAACCAAAAUUUGUGGUAUUUCAAUGGCUGAUUAACAUCACACUCACAUCAAAUCUUAUAGCAUAAGAAACAACCCCAUUUCCUAAAAUAAGCAAGUGGUCUCAUCGAAUUUCCUGAUAAAUACAAUUUUCAAGGAAGAACUUGGAUUUACAAGUAAAGUAGCAAAUAACCCAGUUUCCAAACGCGUUCCAAAAUGUCAUAACCCUUUGAGAAAUUUCAUCAAACACUUGGUGGUCAUCCUACGCUUAACGAAAAAUUACAAGAAAAAACAGGUACUCACUGUUACAGAAGAAGCCGCGGACUUGGGUGCGCAGUCGACCGAAACUCAGCGCAGUUGUGGUGUGUAGCAAAGGAGCCCAUGGUUUUCCCUUCUAAAGUUAAGUUCAGAUCAACGAAUUUUGAGGGGUUUGUUGUUGCAGAGUAGAAGGGAGGACGAGUUCGCCAGGAACUCGCCGGGUUUGCAAUCAGAGAUGGUUUUGCUUUUGAUUUCGAAAAGGCGGAACUGGGCUCGGGUUUGCAGAGGUGGAAGCGUGUGGAAAUUUUUGGAUGAAGGCAGAGAUAGAGAGCAACGGAGAAGAUGGUGUUGAUUUUGAUGAACGAAAUGAAGGCUGGAGGCUAGGGUUUUGUUUAUGAAAAGGAAAGGCAGAGAAGCUACUUGAGAUAAGUGAAAAGGACGAGAGAGUGCUAAAGGGCACUGAGUGCUCUCUUUGGAAAUUGAGAGUUGAGUUUUUAGAGGUCCAUGCCAAAAUUUCUGCAGCCCACCAAAAUUUUAAGGCCUGUUUGGUAGUGUACUUGAAUCUAACCUUUUAAACUCAAAAAUAAUUUUCAAGUUUUAGGCUUUAAAAACUUGUUUGGUAGGACUAUUUUCAAAAACUGAACUCAAGACUAACUCAAAAAUAUAGUCUAUUCUCUAAAAACAUAAAAAUUGAGUUUUUAGAGUUUUUAAAUUUAAAUUCACUUCUUUCUUUUUUCUUCCUCAUCCCCUUUCACUUCAAAUCUAUCUCUCUUUUCUUCUUUCUCUCUCCUUUUUUUUUUAUCUUUUUCGUCUCUUCUCCAAUUCGCUCUCUUCAUUCUUUAGGUUCUUUUUUUCACCUAUCUUCCUCUUUAUCUCGUCUAAUUCUCUAUCUUCUUUCUUUUUCCUUAAAUCAUCUCUUACUUUCUUUCCUCCUCUCUCCUCUUUCUACAUCUCUUGCUACCCCCUCUUUUUACAUCUUUUUGUUAUAGUUUAAGUCGUAAGAUUUAAAAAUUAAAUUGGAAACUAAUCAAGUUUUUGAGUCUUCAAGAAAAUUGUUUUCAAGAAAUGUUCUUAAAAAAUGUUUUGAGAAAUGAUAAAAAUUUUCAAAUAGGAUACCAAACAGGCCCUUAGUCUCCCGCCUCCACCAAUUUUUUUUAAUUGUAUUGUAUAUAUGAUUCUUUUUUUUUUGGGUCCAAUGUAUGAUUAUAUUUGAAUUGAUUGUUUUAGGCGAUAUGUGUUCUACAAAACUAAUUUCAACGAUCCAAUCGUCAAAAUUGUUUGUGUAUACUCCGAUAUCACAUACGUCAAAAAUCGCAAGAAAUAAAUAUUCAGAGAUUUAAAAGAAAAAUCACGAUUUAACGGUUAUUUUAGCUCCUAUUAUGAUAACUUUUUGUAGCUACACUCCUCGACCCUAUAAGAAUACAAUGAAUGAAUUUGAUCUUCCAUUUAAAAUAUUUACACUAGUGGAUACCAAAAAAUCUUAUGUUAUACUUAAUAGAAGUAUAAAAUAAACUCAUAGUGUUUGUUGAAUCUAUCAUUUUGGCAGGAUACGCAUUAUAUGAAACUAGUUUCAGCGAUCCAACCCUCAAACUUGUUUGUAUAUACUCUGAUGUAGCAUAUGUCAAAAAUCGCAAACAAUAAACAUUUAGAGAUUAGGUAACGGAACGAAAUUUUCAACGGUGAUUAAUUAAAAAUCAUGAUUUAACGGUUAUUUUAGCUCCGAUUUUGAUAUUUUUUUUACAACUACACUCUUCGACCUUAUAAGGAUACAAUGAACUAAUUCGAUAUUCAAUUAAAAAUAUUUACACUAGUGGAUACCACAAAAUCUUAUGUUAUACUUAAUGGAAGUAUAAAAUAAACUCUAAGUGUAUGUUGAAUCUAUCGUUUUGAUGAGACACUCAUUCUACAAAACUAGUUUCAACGAUCCAACUGUCAAACUUAUUUGUAUAUACUCCGAGAUAGCAUACAUAAAAAAUCGCAAAAAACAAACAUUCAUAGAUUAGGUAAAGGGAAAAAAAAUUGACGGUUAUAAACGGAAAAUCACGAUUUUACGGUUAUUUUAGCUUCGAUUUUGAUUUUUUUUUUACAACUAUGCUCCUUUCCCUAUAAGAAUACAAUGAACUAAUUUGAUCUUCAAUUUAAAAUAUUUACACUAGUGGAUACCACACAAUCUAAUAUUUUUUUUCUAGUCAAUGAUCUUUUUCAACGACAACUAUAUGCCCUCAUAAAUAAAUAUCUAUUUUCGAGAGCCAUUGGUUGCCCUCGCAAAAUAGAUGGUUAUUUUUUAAGGCCUCUACUUCCUCUCGCAAAUACACAAUCAUUUCCGAGAACAAAUAAUCAUCAUCGAAAAUAGGGAAAUUACUACCGACGACCACUUGUUGCCCUCGGAAAUAAACAAUUACUUCCGACAACUAAAACAUGCCCUUGGAAAAAAUAAUACUUUACCGACGAAAAUAAGUUUCUUCGUAAAUAAAUGUGGCUCCAAAUUUUCCCUCAAAAAAAUAGCUAUUUCCAACGGCGAAGGAACCCUUUUCCAAGGGCAUUUUGGGUGUUGAAAAUAGUAAACCUCUUGUCGACAUAUUUCUGACGGAGCAUAAUUUUUGGUCGGAAAUAGCAAUUUUUACGAGGGUAUUUAUAGGUCCUCGGAAAAUGUUGGUAGCAAAUGACCAUUUUUUUUGUAGCGACAGUUUAUGAUAUUAAUUGUGUGUAGCUUGAAUGGAGGAAUCCAAUCAUAAGCCAUGUGGAAAAUGAGGGAGAUGGGCUGGUUUUUGUCUCCUACACUAAAAUCUUGUAACUGGGUAAGAUUUAUGAAAUGGGCUUUCGUUAGAAUGCCCUCCCAAAAAUUAGAAGACAGAUGGUGGGAAACUAGCUGAGAGAGUUGUCCCAAACUUUGUGGAAUGAAGCCGUUCAUAAAAUUAGAAUAGAGGUCCAAAGUUUUCAAGGACGACAAGUUUCCAAUGGAAUCUGGAAUUGAGCCGUUCAGAAAAUUAGAAGAAAGGUCCAAAGUUUUCAAGGAUGAUAAGUUUCCAAUGGAAUCUGGAAUUGAGCCGUUUAUGAUAUUAGAAGAGAGGUCCAAAGUUUCCAAGGAUGACAAAUUUCCAAUGGAAUCUGGAAUUGAGCCCCGCAAAUUGUUGUGAUGAAGAUUGAGAUUCUGCAAACUUUUAAACAUUCCUAAGGAGACUGGCAAUUGGCUUCCCAGCUCACAGUAAGCCAAAUCUAGUGACUCUAAUGCAAUAUUUGGACAAUUAUAGAAACUCCUCCAAAACUCUUCUAUCCCCCCAUUAAAUUCGUUGUGAGAAAGGCUUAAGACCUUUAGUUUGCACAAAUUUCCAAUGACUUUAGGAAUUUGACUUUUUAAGCUUGUAUAAGAUAAAUCAAGGUAUUCCAGAGAUUUGAAGUUUGCAAAUUCACUUGGGAAAGGAUCACCGAAAUCAUUAAAGGAUAGAUCAAGUGCUAUGAGGCUGGUAAGAUUAAAAAGUGAUGCCGAGUUAAUGCUCUGCAGUGAGAGUGAAAUGCUUUCAAUUUGGCAUGAAGAUAAGUGUAACUCUGCUAAUGAAGGAAGCAUAUUAACAGCAUACACCCAAUUGACUCCUAUGGUGCUAAGAUUCACAUUUCCAAGAUUAAGGUAUUUUAGAGAAGAGAGGCGAGAAAGCCAAUUCAAAUUUCUGGAAGUUAGGUCAUAGUUCGAAUUGAGGUCAAGAAAACUCAGGCUUGACAGGUUACCAAGAGAAGGGGGAAUCUCUCUCCCAAAUGACGUAGAGGAGAGAUUGGGAUAUUGUAGAGUUUUAAGGUCCCCAAAGAACUUAGGAAUUUGAUUGCUAUGAAAAUCAUUAUAGCUUAGGUCCAGGUAAUUUAAAUGUUUCAAGCUCAACAGAGAAGCAUUUCUCUUACCUCCCAAGCUAAACUUUUCAUACAUGUCCCACUCUUCAUACGGAUUCCGGAGGUCCAUCUUCACCACAUGACCGGUGCGGUUGUUGCACGAAACACCUUUCCAUUGACAGCAAUCGUGACCCACCCAAGAGGAAAGCCUACCAGAAGCAUCAACAAGAUGUCGUUUAAAGAUGAGAAGCGCUUGUCUUUCUUCGUCGAUGCAUGGAUUUGUUUUCACACUGCUUGAAAGUGCACCACCGGCCAAACAGAAACAGAGUUUAGUAGUACUCUGCAUGUAGGAAGAGGUCAAAAGAAAAAGAAGGAAAUAGUGAGCAAUACUGGGGUGAUAGUGGGUAUCCAUAUCACACACAAUUUUCUUUGCUAUGCUUUGGUGAGGGAUGAUGUUUAGCUUCUAAAUUCAAGAAUUUAUAGGAAUAGAUUAUCGAUGUAGAUCGGGGAGUUGCAACGAAAGUCGUCUGAUGGAGAAAAGAAAAAAGGGUAACUGAAAUGAAUGGAUUGUGUUUACAAGUUUGCGAUGGGUUCUAGAAAUCAUCAUGCCGUGGAGACUUUGAAUUAAGGGUCUUUGGAGUCCAUUAUGUGUUGUAGAAAUUCACAACCUAUCAUCUUAUUUAUUCUUCUUUUCCUGUACUAUAAAAUUACGAAAACGAAUUUAGAUAUGUUUUAUAUUUUGUUCGAAGGAAAACAGAUAUAGAUGUGUCAGGUUGAACAAGUUUGCAAGUCCAUCGCCUACACCACACUUGGUGGUACUCUCUACUUGGAUAUGACUGUUGUGUUGUUAAUUACAAAUUUUCUAAACAACGGAAUUGUUAUUAACACUCCAAAAUCGUCAUUGUCACAGAAGUCGCUUUCUCAUUUGUUUUUCACUAAUGAGAAUUACAGAGAUUUUUCUAUGGAAGUUUCCAUUAUUGCGUUCAAUUUGUCAUCUCAACCUAACUGAGAUGAUAGUGGCUGUCCAUUAUUACGCACAAUUUUCUUUGCCAUGCUUUGCUGGAAAUGAUGUUUUUGUUUCCUAUAAAUUGUAGAAGUAGUUCAAACGAAAGUCGUCUGAAGGAGAAAAGAAAAAAGGGCGGGUCUUCACAACCCAUUUUACAAGUUAGCAAAUCCAUUGUCGACACAGCUGGGACCUGAAGAUUUCUAAUUAACGGUCUUCAGCUAGGAACUGUUCUCUUCUUGUGGUGUAAAAUUAUGAAAACGGAUUUAGAAAUGUUUUGUGCCAACGAAAAUGGAUAUGUGUGUCGGUAUGAACAAGUUUGCAAGUCCAUCGCCUACUCCUCACUUGCUGGUACUCUACUUGGAUAUGACUGUCGUGUCGUUAUCCCUUUACAAUUUUCUAAACAACAGAAUUAUUAUUAACACUCCAAAAUAGUCAUUGUCAUACUAGUUGCCUUCUUAUUUGUUUUUUCACUAAUAGGAAAUACAUAUAUUUUUCUAUGGAAUUUUCCGAAUUCUGAUGAAGCCGUGUAGGAGCAGAUGAUAACGAAUGCAUGAUGGAGAUGGCUAGCCACGGAAGUCUUGGCACUCUAAUUAGUCUUUGGUGGAAAAUCCAUGUACAACGGAGACUCUGAAUAGUUAGUCUCCUCCAGCAUCUGUUAGAGAGUAGAAAAUAUAUCAUAAUUGACGACAACAAAGUCCAUUCAAGAACAAAACAAGCAAACAACUGAAAAAAAAAAAGACUUAAAACAAGAACAGAGAACAUUUGUUUGAAACUCUGUUUUGUAGCGACGAGAGGUAGAGAGACAUAAUUCUGAUGUUUGUUCAAUAACGCAGUAUUUUAAGUAAUUUGUCGUACCAACUUUCCGAAAUCGUUAAUUUGUCAUCUCACCCUAACUCCGUUCAAUUUGUCAUAUAACUAAUAUUGGACUAUCAUAUUUCGUUUCCUAUAGUUUGGACUUUGGAGUGUCCCUUAAGCCAACAUCACAGAGAAGGGGUUAUGUGACCGACUAUGACAUAGUAAUUUGGCUUUCUAUACACGUUUUCGUGUGAUAGUUGAAAACACUUAUCUUACAAAGCUUUUUUGGAAAGUGACUUUUACACAACAAUUUUAAUUUGUCACAUACUACUUUUUAUUUCUAACCAUUAAAUUGAAUAAAUCAAACAUAAUCAAUGGAUGUAUAAGAGCAUCUCUAGUGAAGUCUCUAAAUAAAGAUAACCAUUGUAUAAAAUGGGUAUCAAACAAAUAUAGGAACAAAAAUGAAUCUUCAAUGGAUCUGAAAGUGAGUCCCUAAAGUACAGGGACUCAUCGAAUACAUAGUGUAUGUCUCACAUAUAGGGAUUGUAUAGGGACAACCUUGAGUGAAAAACGAAACCCACAAUCUUAAUUGAAGCUUUUAAUGUUUUUAAUUAAUUAAAAAAUGGUUAAAAUAAACAAAAAAAAAAUGUGCACAUUGAGUGGAAAACUGGACUCACAAUCUUAAUUGAAGAUUUUAAUGCUUUUAAUUAUUUAAAAAAUGUUAACAUAAGCAAAAAAGGUGCUCCUAAUCAAAUUAUCACAUAAAAUCAUAAAAACUUCAAAUUUUAAGGACUCUACCAUUGGAGGCAAUAUUCCUUUAGAAACACAUAGAUUCCAUUUUAAGUCAUUAAAUGAGUACUCAAAAGUGGUGGUAGGAAUACCUAAAUAUGGACUUUCAUUGGAGAUACUUGUGUAUUUAUUAUUUUCAUUUUUUUUCCCUUGCUUUUAUUCUAAAAUUAGGAAAUAGUUUCUGAAAAACUGAUUUUCGCACUAUUUUUUCUUCUUCUAUACUUUUGUUGGACCGAAUAAAAUAGAGAAAAAUCAAGGAACAAAAGAAAUUUAGAUGCAAAAAUCAUUUAUGACCUAGCAAGUAGUCACAGUAAGUUAAAUAGGAAAAUAUUAUACAUUUAGUAUUACGGUAAUGUCCCUCCACACUGUAAAAAAAGUCCCAUGUUUGAAUCUCAAGAUUAUGUGGCUUCAGCCCAAAUUCCUGUUGUUGUAUAAAUAAAAAUGUUACGCAUUUGCGUUUGAUCCAAAGUCCCCUUCACUCUCCUUUCCUCUUCACAGAGAAGAGAUCCAAAGGCCCAACCACAGCGUGUAACAUGUUUGGUCGUUGCUCACACAGGGCAGAUCAUGAACACAUUCAUGUAAACUUGUUAAAAAAUAAAGCACAAAAACCUCUUUAACGCCAAUUCAACAUCAAAUUAAAAGAAAAUACCGAAUCCUUUCUUUCAAAUUAACGUCAUCCAACAGCAAGCUAAGGGUCAGUUUCAGGGCACCUAGCGGUAUAAAUUGGACCGGAAGGGCAAAAUAUAUGAACAUAAAGUCGAUAACUUGGCGUUUAACUUUCCACAGAAGCUCAAACCAGCUGCAUCAGUGUUGGAUUUAGUGGUAGCAUGCCAUGCUACUCAUCUUCGUGGUUGGAGUUUUAUCGAGCAGUGAGGGGGACUUUGAAUCGGGAUAGUUACUUGCUUCCACAAGAUGGUUUGGUUAGCUGAUUGAGCUACUUGUGAUAUUAAUCUAUACGGUAGAAUAUGUAACGUAUAUGUACUUGUGCAUUACGUUUUGUAUUAUAUGUUGGUAGAUAGCUGAUAAUGGUGCCAACUGCACCUCGGACAAGCCAAUUUCGUGCACAUUUCAGAGCAGACAAACCUGUUAUGGAGUCGAAAAUCAGUUUUGAUAUGUCCAAGGUCUUCCUGCAGUGACGAUCAGACCGUGUAAACAAGUACGAAUCAUUAAAAUCAGACCGUGUAAGAUUAAUUAAGAGCUAAUUUGGAUCUAUCAAAGGAUGAAGGGAGAUAAUGAUUAAUCAAUGCAAUAUGUACCAUUAACAAGAAACUAGAUUCACACAGCAAUAGUAGGUCAUAAUUUCUUAGCAACAACAUCAUGUUGUUACACUUCUGUGAGAGAGAUCAUAACAUAAACGCGUGCAACACAACAGACUGAUGUGAAUUGCGGUACCAAAUGAACAAAAGAUUUUACAAUCUUGAAAACCCUAGAGUAGACAGACGCCAUCAGUAGAAGCGCCACGAAAUAUGGCUUCUUUACGACAAGCUUGAUCGAUGCCCUUCAUCGUGUUAGAUCAAUAUGAAAUACAAGCAGAAUUUUGUCCUGCUACACAGGCUUCAACAACUGCGGGGGAAAACAUGUCUACCAGAUGAUGCUGGAGUCUUUAUCUCUUGAGUUGUUAACAUUCUUAUCUUCACCAGUCUGAGGCCCCGUUUGGGAUUGAGGUGAUUUUAAAAAAAGCCACUGUGAAAAAAAGCUGAGGGUCAUUUUUGUGUUUGGUAAACUGAAAAAAAAGGGCUUAUUUUGGAAGCUGCUGUGAGAAUAAGCUGAAAAUCAAAGGAAAAGCUGAAGCUGCUAUUUGCUGCUUUGAAAAAAAGCCAGUUUUUUCAAAGCACACGGAGCUACAGUGCUCCUUUAAUGAAAAGACACACUAUCAUCCUGCUUUUUUUUCCAAAAGCACUUUUACAAAAAAGUUUACCAAACACUCUACUGGCUUUAUUUCACAGCCGCUUAUUCUCACAGCACAGCCACUUAUUCUCACAGCAGCUUUUUUUCAAAGCACAGCAAUACCAAACCAGCCCUGAGCUGAAUCGAAGUGGAAGCGUCUCCAAUGGUUUUAUCGCUGCAACACCUCUGAGAUCAAGGCUAGAGUACUUUUCAUAUGUGACCUUCAAACUUCCCACUCUUGCAGCUUUGUGAAAUAUUAAGACCAUCUGCAGUCUCUGCAACAAUCAAACAUCGAUCACUAAAAUUUAUUCUGAAGCAAGCACUAGAGAAUGAAACAAAGUUAUUUACUUGUCUUUAAAGCAGUACCUGAUUUGGGAUACUUCAUAACGAGUGUGUUUGCAGAGCAGCGGAGUCCAAGCCGGAGUAAUCUGCAGGGUGCACCUUGCAACAUAUAGGGCUGCUGCUGCGCACAGCAACGAGGGCUUGAACCUUAACGGUUCAUAUUCAACUAAGCACAACUCGAUAAGGUAGAAUGCCAAGUGUUCAAGCUGCAAAACAGUCCGCAAAGUAUCAGGCUGUUAGCAACUUUGCUGUUAUCUAAUCCAUAUCGAGAACUAAUAUCCACUAAACUCUGGCGUGUCAAUCUCUUUCCUUCUUAGUAACGGUGUUAAUCAUUAAUCAAAGUUUAUGUCUGUUAGCCUUAGAAACUACUGAACCCCUUUGUUUCUGACUGAGCAGCCUUGAGAAAUCUUAACAUGAAGUCAUAUGGAGUAGGUGCAUUAAGACGAAACUUCAGCUUUUUCAGAAAGGCUUUCUCCUAAAAAGCAAAGACUGUUUAUCUUAGGACAAGUGAAAAGGGACUAUCGAUUGCAGUAUUAUUUUUCAUCUCAGAAGAUAUGCACAAGGAUAUUUCCAGAUUCUAACAAAACAGUCAGAGUCUGACUACGAAAAAUACAUACCAUUCCAAGCACCUGUGCUCUCGUAUGUCUCAGCUGAGAUGCUAUCUUUGACCUGCAAUUUUUCUUGUAUAGAAUUAGAAAGAAAAAAAAAAAAAACAUGAAAAAUAAUGCAUACGAGUUGAGAUAUUGAUAUUUACCCUUGGAUGCCAAAAGUCCUCAUACUUUGAUGCCAACAAGAGUGCAGUGAGACCAAUUAACUGCAUGUCAUCCUUCUUAAUUGUGACUUGGGAAAGAUAUUGAUCAAGCAAUGUCACCAUGAGAUAAAGAGUUUCUUGCAUUAACUCGAAUUUGUAGUGUACCUGUUUCCAGAUGAACAAAUCAAGGGGAUAGCCACUAUUAAACAUCAUGAAAUGUAAAAUUGAACAAGGCAAGACAAAAACGAAUACAAAAACAGCAUAGUUCAUCAAAAGGUUAAAUCGGUACUUCAAUUAACCAGUUGACCAAUAUGCCUCGCAUAUGAGGAGCAAUGUCUGCCUGAAUCGACAUGAAAUUUUCUGGAGGUUGAUUCUGUGCCUGCAGUUAAAGACAAUUUAACAAAGCCAACAAGUCAGAAUUAGAACUACACAAAACCUACUAUCUUACCAGACUAAGAUGAAAACAGUGGUAUAGAGACAUCAUAACCAUUACCUCAGAAGUAAUACUGAUAGAUCUCAUCAACAUAAUCGGAAACUUCCGGUUGAUUGCAGUCGUCAUCAAUACUUGGCAGCUAUUCCACCUUCAAAGCUUCAACAUGGCCCUCUAGUAACUGCAAAUGGGGCCAAGUGUGAAUGUAGUUCAUAAGUAAGGAAUAAAGGCAUCAAUAGAACACGGUAAGCCCCCAACCUUUGAUCCAGUCAUCAAUAGAGAUGUGUAAGAUCUCCUCCUAUUUGAUUUUCUUCUGGAAAUGAUAGUUGAAGCACUCUGGCUGCAGCUGGCUUCAGAUGGGAGCUCUCCCUGAGUGGCUUCAUGCUUUUCAUGCUUAACGUUCUCAGGAAGAGAAGAAGUAGCCACUUUUUCAGUUUUGGAUGAAGUUGCAGUAGCAGAAACUAAUUUGUUUGGACCUGAUGCACCCUUGGAUUUCAAAGUCCUUUGCGACUCACGAGCCUUCAGUGUGGACAAUGUUGGCUGGAUCAUAAUAAAAUUAAAGGGAAGAUAAAUAGAACGAACAUCUAUUUCAUAAAGAUCUAACAUGCCAAGAAACAAAGUCAGGAUGAUGCAGUAAUCUCAUAGUAAUGUAAAGCAAUCACUCAGGCGAAGUACUAAAUUGAAUGCACUGCCGUAAAGCUUCAAGUUGGUGCCAAAAUGGUUGCCAUGUUAAGCAAUAACACAAGUCAACAGAUUUCAGGACCAAAUGACUUUAAAAAAACUGACAGAUGAUUGAAGUACUGAAAGUAAAAUAUGGCGACACAAAUGAAAUUGUUUUACUGUCUGAAGUAGACAAAAUUGAGCAACUACAUUUCAGAACUGGUCAAACAAAACGACACAUUAAUUCUUUUUUCCCAUUUGAGGAGGAGGAGGGACAUGAGUUCUAUUUCUGAUUAGACUUACCCUGACAGAAUUUCUUGGCAAUACACAGACAUUUGAAUUACGCUGACCCCUGCAAUCUCAAAUCACAUGCAAACUAUUAACAGAUAGGAAUCUCAACCGUGUUUAGUUAAGACAUAAAAGCUUAAAUGAUCAUUCAACAUAAGAGACAUUCAAUGAAUUAGAAAGUUAAUGAAUGUAGUAAUUCAAACUAUAGUAGUAAAGAAGAAUAAAAUGAAUACAGAAGCCCAUCAAGAGUAAAAAACAAUGUGACUAAACCAAAAACCAAACUCUCCAAUGCAGCCAUUCGAAAUCUAUAUGCUGUAACUUUCAAGACCAGAAAUUGUAUUCGCAUGUAGCAUUAUAAUAUCAAUUCUUAGAUACCAGGGGGCAAGAAAAUUGAUAAAUUUUCCUUUUCCAGGACAAUAUUAGAAAGAUCUAAAAAUAACUGGGAGGAGCCACAAGAUUCAUAAAAUUGGGGGUGAACUGCAGAAUACAUGUUCUUUGUUGUACUCCCUUAUAGUUUUACUUCUGCAUCUGCUGUUAUUUGCUUUGAGUUCUGAAAUUGACGUAUUAGUCAUGCCUGAAGUGAGAACAAACAAUCCUAUCCAUAAAAUGCAAGAAAGAUGCUUCCAUUUCAUUCAUUCAGAAGCAAAAUGAGGUUUAACGGAAUAUGCACCAGUAUCAGCAAAACCUUUUAACUGGCUUUAAGCGGGAUAGAAAACUAGUAGUAUGGAUCACUGUCACUCACAUAAUCACAAAGAUAUCACUCACUCGAUUCCUCAACAGAUGGCUCCUCGUGGUAUCAUUACUCUAGAUACUACUUUCUUGCCAACCGUAGCCUUAAUUGUAUUCCAAAAUGCCAUUUGGUCAGACAUCAUGUGCCACCCACUUGUCAAAUCUUAAAUAUUCAAGGCAUCUUACCAUAAUACCCUCUUUUUCUUUCAGAAUUUCUACCAGCAUUUUCCUACAAGCAGGAAAGCAAAAAAUAUAAAUGUCCAACUUGAAAUCCUACUCCUGUUAAACUGAACCGAGGAAUAUUAUUAGAAUGCAUGACAUCAACCUUCGGAAUACUUGCUUCCUCUGGGACCUUUAGCACCGACAAUGAUUUCCUUUAAAAUGGAGAGAGGAAAUAGAAAAUACAUCAAUAACAGAUACAGAUCUUAUCCACAGUAAAUAAACAAACAUGUCUGCAGGUCAGAUACCUUAUCAGCUUAAGUGAAGAAUUUGAAGUCCUCCUGAAAAAAAAGUUAUAAGUUUAAUCAAGGGUCUUUAUAUGUUUAGUUUCAUAAGCACAUGAGCCAGAUUAGAAUAUUUCAAAGGCACAACAAACAAAUUGCGGCACAAUUUCUAAUUUCUUAUAAAGAGGGAAAACAAAGGUGGCUCAGACCUGCCAUCUGUAACAAUAGAUUCGCGGUUUAGACCCAUAGCCUUGGUCCUUUGAUUCUCUGAAGGUGCCUUCAACUCUUUAAUAGCUACAGUUUAUCCGUAAUAAAAAAAAUUUCAAAUGGUACAAUUGCAUCCGGGAAACUAUCCCAGCAUUUCUGAAGUAUUAAAGCUUUCCCGCCCUUUUCCCUGAUUGAAGUGAGACAAAAAACAAUUCUUACAAUUGGAAGAACAACAAUAUGUGAAAUGAUUGGCGUUGAUACUCGCUAAGCUUGUCAAGAAAGACAAAACCCUGUCUCUGCGUUGUCAAACAUACAACGGAACAGUGGAAAACAAAAACUUAGUUGACCUUCAAAAAGCAAAACAUGGACAGGAAGAAAACUUUUUAAGUUUUGCAGCUUUUGUCCAGUUUGGGGGUAGCACUAUAUGAAAACUAACUUGAAGUACCCUGCUUAAAGGCUGUAAGUAACUAUAAGAUCUUUGAACCACUCAUAUGAGGGCUCUUUUGUUCAUUUUCAGAUUACAGAGAGAUAUCUACUGAAGUCAGUAGAACAACGUACUACGCAAUCAUGUAAAUAAGAGAGUUACAAGGAAAAAGCAUGCUAGGAUUUAACAUUCUUACCAGGAAGGAAAAUAACACUCCAUCCUAAUCCACCUCAAAACAAGCAGCAGAAUAAGGAGGUCGUUAGUUACCUUUAAAGAAGCUGUAUUCUCCACAGCCGAUACUUUGUUAACUGUUGCACCACUCCGGAAAUUAAAAGCAGCACACAGAUAUAAUUCCCCGGAAAAAUCUAGUUAAUUGCCAAGACCUUGCAGGAAGUGGGCAGAUACAGCUAAUAUCUAAUAUUUUUUUGCCUCUAUUUAGCUACAUCAUUGUACAAUGCUCCCAUUCUAUUUGAAUUGUUAACACAGUUUGCAUACAAAUAAAAAUCCCAAGAUUUAAAUUCUGGAAGGAAGGCUUAGUUGAUUUUAGUUCUAAAACAACUUACACAUUGAUUAAAACCAUAACAUUCGAUAAUCGAAACGAAAUUGCACAAAUUUGAAACUACAAUUACCUGAUCCCGGUAUCAGCUUUGGCAGUGUCACUUUCUGUAUAAACCUUAAAACAUGAGACACCAACUGUUUAAAAUAUCGAAAAACAAUGUCAGAAGUUAAUAAAUCACCUCCACAAGAACUUAAAACCAGCAGAAGAACCAAGAAUUGCGGUUCCACACCCGAUUCUGUCCUAUGCCGAAUUUUGGCUGAAAAUUACGAAAAACCAAGCAUGGUUUCGCAGAUGUCAGAACUGAUUUCAUCCAAAAGAAAAACCAGAGAAAGAAAUCAAAGAAAGUUAUCCGGGAAUCGAAAACCUUUCUGGAUUUUUCCGACCUUAGCAGCCAACAUUUUGCUUCUCUCUACAAGUGUCAUAGUGCUCUGCCGAUGAUCCAAUUUCUAGAAAAACCGAGAGAAUUUCAAUCAGUUCAAAUUUCAAAACGCAGCCCUAAUUGAAUUGAUUUUUCGAAUAAAUUCGAUUUUUCAAGAAUUACAUGGAAACGAUAGUUUGUCGAUAGAUUUGUAGGAGGAAGCGUACCUUAAACGACGUCAUUUUGGAGAUAUCUCUUGCUAUUCUCGGAUUCUGAUCUUCGGAGAUGGAGCGGAAUAAGAACAGUCGACCGUUGCAGAGGUCUGAGUCGUCUUGUUAAAUCGGCUGUCUUUAUUUUCGUUUUAUGAAAUAAACACGAUUGUACGUUACUACCCCUUUCCUAAUUUUUUUGGUUUAUGCAAUUGAUAAGUACAAACUAGAAAUUUUAAUUAAUUCCAAGUUAAUACAUAAUUGUUUGUGGGAACAUUUUUUUUAUUUUUAUUCAAUACAUAAGUUGCAAGUCCCAUAAACCAAAUACAAGGGAAACCACAAAUAUACAUAGUACUAUCAAACAUAAGAAAACAUUCUUUGGAAACGAGCCACUUUCAAUGCAAUUGCUAGUGCUACCUUGUCUUUGAUGUUGUCGAAGAAUUGAAAAUAUGCAUACCUCCAUGAUGUCUUUAAGAUCAAUGAGCCGCAAACCCCCCAAAAGCCUACAAUAAAACCAAGUACCAUGCUGACAUAGAACCACAACUCAUCAUUUCCACCUUCAUUCAUGUCUUUUGUAUCCUUAGAUGGGGAAGUGUCAUCUCCAGGGCACUUAGUUGAGAGAGGAACGCCGCAUAGCGAUGGGUUUUCCAUAUAAAUGGACGAAUCAUUGAGCGUUUGAAGCUGGUUUCCUGAAGGAAUUCUUCCAGACAAGUUGUUGUAAGACAAGUUCAAGUGAGAUAGUGAGGUUAAAGAUGACAAGCUUUGAGGAAUCUGUCCUGAAAGGUGGUUGUGUGAGAGAUCAAGUGUUUCAAGCCAAUGCAAGUUUCCGAUCUUGGAAGGGAUCUUUCCAGUCAAUUGAUUCCUAGACAAGUUCAAGGUACCCAAU